Molecule: ribosomal RNA, 461 nt
Filed under: Capnocytophaga gingivalis
Lineage: Bacteria; Pseudomonadati; Bacteroidota; Flavobacteriia; Flavobacteriales; Flavobacteriaceae
Description: bacterial SSU rRNA
Rfam family: Bacterial small subunit ribosomal RNA
Source: RNAcentral
GAUGAACGCUAGCGGCAGGCCUAACACAUGCAAGUCGAGGGAGAAGCCCUUUCGGGGGCAGAAACCGGCGCACGGUUGCGUAACGCGUAUGCAACCUACCUUUCACAGGGGGAUAGCCCGAAGAAAUUUGGAUUAAUACCCCAUAAUAUUAUUGGAUGGCAUCAUUUGAUAAUUAAAACUGCGGUGGUGAAAGAUGGGCAUGCGUCCUAUUAGCUAGUUGGAGUGGUAACGGCACCCCAAGGCUACGAUAGGUAGGGGUCCUGAGAGGGAGAUCCCCCACACUGGUACUGAGACAGGGACCAGACUCCUACGGGAGGCAGCAGUGAGGAAUAUUGGUCAAUGGUCGGAAGACUGAACCAGCCAUGCCGCGUGCAGGAAGAAUGCCUUAUGGGUUGUAAACUGCUUUUAUAUGGGAAGAAUAAGGCGUACGUGUACGUGAUGACGGUACCCAUAGAUAAGCU